Sus scrofa (pig) is the source of this 72-nucleotide non-coding RNA. Lineage: Eukaryota; Metazoa; Chordata; Mammalia; Artiodactyla; Suidae. The record is from Rfam.
CUCUAGCUAAUCUAGUGGCUAGGGCUCCUGAUUUUCAACCAGGCUGCUCAGGUUCAAUUCCUGAGCAAAAAA